GCCUAUGGCUGUGCUACCGUGAACAAGCCCGAUCCCAUCUGAUCUCGAAAGCUAAGCAGGGUCAGGCCUGGUUAGUACUUCGAUGAGAGACCACCUAGGAAGACCAGGUGCUGUAGUCA
Molecule: ribosomal RNA, 119 nt
Filed under: Pteropus alecto (black flying fox)
Lineage: Eukaryota; Metazoa; Chordata; Mammalia; Chiroptera; Pteropodidae
Source: RNAcentral